Molecule: long non-coding RNA, 205 nt
Filed under: Elaeis guineensis (African oil palm)
Lineage: Eukaryota; Viridiplantae; Streptophyta; Magnoliopsida; Arecales; Arecaceae
Description: long non-coding RNA (EGUI_LNC043710)
Source: RNAcentral
GCAGUGAAAGGUUAGUUGAUCUCGAAAAGAAGGUCUCUGAAGAGCAAAGAGUUAUAGAUCCUCAGGAAUCCGUUAUCCAUGAGCUAGUAGUAGAUAUUCCUCAACCACCUCGUAGAUCUAGUAGGAUCUCCUGACCUUUUGAAAGGUACAUGGGUAUACUUACGGAGGAAGUAAAGGUUAUGGGAGAUAGGGGUCAUGGUGAUGA